RNAcentral lists this microRNA precursor (97 nucleotides) under Canis lupus familiaris (dog). RNAcentral's name for it is "mir-544 microRNA precursor family". It matches the Rfam family "mir-544 microRNA precursor family". Lineage: Eukaryota; Metazoa; Chordata; Mammalia; Carnivora; Canidae. RNAcentral also lists the same sequence under 1 other name. The record is from Rfam by way of RNAcentral.
AUCACCUAGGGAUCUUGUUAAAAUGCAGAUUAUGAAUUAGUACGCCUGAGACAGGUCCGAGAUUUUGCAUUUUUAACAAAUACCUAGGUGACCCUGA